AACUGGGUCUAAUACCGGAUAGGAGCGCCUGUCGCAUGACGGGUGUUGGAAAGAUUUUUCGGUCAUGGAUGGACUCGCGGCCUAUCAGCUUGUUGGUGAGGUAAUGGCUCACCAAGGCGACGACGGGUAGCCGGCCUGAGAGGGUGACCGGCCACACUGGGACUGAGACACGGCCCAGACUCCUACGGGAGGCAGCAGUGGGGAAUAUUGCACAAUGGGCGGAAGCCUGAUGCAGCGACGCCGCGUGAGGGAUGACGGCCUUCGGGUUGUAAACCUCUUUCAGUAGGGAAGAAGCGAAAGUGACGGUACCUGCAGAAGAAGCACCGGCUAACUACGUGCCAGCAGCCGCGGUAAUACGUAGGGUGCGAGCGUUAUCCGGAAUUAUUGGGCGUAAAGAGCUCGUAGGCGGUUUGUCGCGUCUGUCGUGAAAGUCCGGGGCUUAACCCCGGAUCUGCGGUGGGUACGGGCAGACUAGAGUGCAGUAGGGGAGACUGGAAUUCCUGGUGUAGCGGUGGAAUGCGCAGA
RNAcentral lists this ribosomal RNA (525 nucleotides) under Micrococcus flavus. Its description in RNAcentral is "bacterial SSU rRNA". It matches the Rfam family "Bacterial small subunit ribosomal RNA", at positions 155 to 694 of the family's 1533-position model. Lineage: Bacteria; Bacillati; Actinomycetota; Actinomycetes; Micrococcales; Micrococcaceae. The record is from RNAcentral.